Molecule: ribosomal RNA, 166 nt
Filed under: uncultured bacterium
Lineage: Bacteria
Description: partial 16S rRNA
Rfam family: Bacterial small subunit ribosomal RNA
Source: RNAcentral
UAGGGAAUCUUCGGCAAUGGACGGAAAGUCUGACCGAGCAACGCCGCGUGAGUGAAGAAGGUUUUCGGAUCGUAAAACUCUGUUGGUAGAGAAGAACGUUGGUGAGAGUGGAAAGCUCAUCAAGUGACGGUAACUACCCAGAAAGGGACGGCUAACUACGUGCCAA